GGCGGGAAGUAAUAUAAUUAUCUUAAUAUUAAUUAUGCUGCGACGGAAAUUUGCCGUAGUAUAUUUUGUAAUGGCGACGGCAUUAGGGGUAGCAUGAAACCGUCGCAGAGUAAGUGUCGCAAAGAUCUUUGCCGUCGCAAAAGUGGUUUGCGACGGCAUUUUGCCGUGGCUAAAGAUAUUGGCGACGCCACCAACGGCGUCAGAAGCUUUGCCGUCGCAGAGCCGUCGCAAAUGCUUUUUUGCCACGGCAAAACAGCUUUUCGCUACGGCAGGGCGCCGUGGCUA
RNAcentral lists this long non-coding RNA (285 nucleotides) under Rosa chinensis. Its description in RNAcentral is "sRNA RchiOBHm_Chr2g0132021". Lineage: Eukaryota; Viridiplantae; Streptophyta; Magnoliopsida; Rosales; Rosaceae. The record is from RNAcentral.